AUUAAGGUUUAAUUUCACGCGUGUUUUCAAAGUUUCACAAAUUGUGAAAAAAAUUUGUGAAACUUUGAAAACACAAGUGAAAUUAAACCUUAAUUUUACGA
Molecule: non-coding RNA, 101 nt
Organism: Paramuricea clavata
Lineage: Eukaryota; Metazoa; Cnidaria; Anthozoa; Malacalcyonacea; Plexauridae
Source: the annotation of a GenBank genome assembly